RNAcentral lists this ribosomal RNA (420 nucleotides) under uncultured bacterium. RNAcentral describes it as "bacterial SSU rRNA". It matches the Rfam family "Bacterial small subunit ribosomal RNA", at positions 357 to 770 of the family's 1533-position model. The record is from RNAcentral.
GGGAAUCUUCCACAAUGGGCGAAAGCCUGAUGGAGCAACGCCGCGUGGGUGAAGAAGGUCUUCGGAUCGUAAAACCCUGUUGUUAGAGAAGAACAAGGACGUUAGUAACUGAACGUCCCCUGACGGUAUCUAACCAGAAAGCCACGGCUAACUACGUGCCAGCAGCCGCGGUAAUACGUAGGGGGCUAGCGUUAUCCGGAAUUACUGGGCGUAAAGGGUUCGUAGGUGGUUUCUUAAGUCAGAGGUGAAAGGCUACGGCUCAACCGUAGUAAGCCUUUGAAACUGGGAAACUUGAGUGCAGGAGAGGAGAGUGGAAUUCCUAGUGUAGCGGUGAAAUGCGUAGAUAUAUGGAGGAACACCAGUGGCGAAGGCGGCUCUCUGGUCUGUAACUGACGCUGAGGCUCGAAAGCGUGGGGAGCA